Molecule: long non-coding RNA, 160 nt
Organism: Gopherus evgoodei (Goodes thornscrub tortoise)
Lineage: Eukaryota; Metazoa; Chordata; Testudines; Testudinidae
Exons: 3
Source: RefSeq, a predicted model, not a curated record
AUUAGGGCUGUUCCUUGUGAAUAGCUAACAAAGCCAUGUUAGAUAGACCGGAGCUUUGACAUGUAGACUUAUAUUGUUAGAGAAUUGGAAGAAGAUAGUGAUUGUAUUGGUCUGUGUUUACCUAUAACUUGUUACAGGUUAACAAUGUAACCAGAAAAUU